UGGGGAAUCUUGCACAAUGGGGGCAACCCUGAUGCAGCGACGCCGCGUGAGCGAUGAAGCCCUUCGGGGCGUAAAGCUCUUUCGACCGGAACGAUAAUGACGGUACCGGGAGAAGAAGCUGCGGCUAACUACGUGCCAGCAGCCGCGGUAAUACGUAGGCAGCAAGCGUUGUUCGGAGUUACUGGGCGUAAAGAGUGCGUAGGCGGUUUUCUAAGUUCGGUGCGAAAUCUCCCGGCUUAACUGGGAGGGUGCGCCGAAGACUGGGAAGCUGGAGUGUGGGAAACGCAGGCGGAAUUCCUGGUGUAGCGGGGAAAUGCGUAGAUAUCAGGAGGAACACCGGCGGUGUAGACGGCUUGCUAGACCAUAACUGACGCUGAGGAACGAAAGCGUGGGUAGCAAACA
RNAcentral lists this ribosomal RNA (402 nucleotides) under uncultured bacterium. Its description in RNAcentral is "bacterial SSU rRNA". It matches the Rfam family "Bacterial small subunit ribosomal RNA", at positions 355 to 774 of the family's 1533-position model. The record is from RNAcentral.